AUAUAUAGGAGUUUGAGUUCUGUGGUAAGUUCAUGUUUAAUUUUAUAUAAGAAAUUUCUAGAUUGUUUUCCAGUGUGGUUGUAUCAUUUUACUUUCUCAGUAGCAACAUAUGAGAAUUUCAGUUACCCCACAUCAUGGCCAGUACUUGAUCUUGUCUGUCUCUUCCUUCCUUCCUUCCAUGGCCUGAUCAGACUCAGAUAUGUGAUACUAGUUGCAAUUAUGACCUACCCCACAACUACAGCAGCAGGGCCAGAUCCCUUAACCCACUGUGCUGGCCAGGGAUCCAGCCUGCAUCCUGGCACUGCAGAGACAUUGCUGAUCCCAUUGUGCAUGGCAGGAACUCCUCUUUCUUUUUGUUGGACUUGUCUCUCAUAUUAUGGAGUUGCUCUGAUGGAUACACAUGUAUUUUCUCAUUAUAACCAUCCGGAGAGAUAACACAGGCAUACCUCAGAGAUAUUGCAGGUUUGGUUCCAGGCCACCACAAUCAAGUAUCGCAAUAAAGUGAAUAUCGAAAUAAAGUGAGUCACAAUUUUUUCUGUUUUCCAGCACAUGUAAAAGUUAUGUUUAUACUGUAGUUUGUUAAGUAUAACAUGAAUAAAAAUACAGUGUAUGUGCCUUAAUUUAAAAAUGCUUCAUUGCUAAAAAAUGCUAACCGUGGUCUGUGCCUUCAAUGAAUUAUAAUAUUUCUGCUGGAGAGGGCCUUCUCGAUAUUUGAGGGCUGCUGACUGAUCAGAAUGGUGGAAGGCUGGUGUGGCCAUGGUAAUUUCUUAAAAUAAGACAACAGUGAAAUUUGUCACAUCAGUUGAUUCUUUCUUUCAUGUACGAUUUCCCUACAGCAGGCAAAGGCUGUUAGAUAACAUUUUACCUAUAGUAGAAUUUCUUUCAAAAUUUGAGUCGGUCUUCUCAAACUCUCCUGCUUCUUUAUUAACUAAGUUUAUGUCAUAUUAUAAAUCCUUUGUUGUUGUUUCAACAAUCUUCACAGCUUGUUCAUCAAGAGCAGAUUCUGUCUCAAGAAACUACUUGCUUUGCUCAUCCAUAAGAAGCAGUUCUUCAUUCAUUCAAGUUUUCCCAUGAGAUUGCAUGCAAUUCAGUCACAUCUUCAGGCUGCAUUUCUAAUUCUAGUUCUCUUGCUAUUUCCAGCCCAUCUGCAGGUCAUCCUUCCACUGAAGUUUUUUGUUUGUUUUUUUUUUGUUUGUUUGUUUGUUUUGUUUUUGCAUGUAUAUUUUCUUUUUUAAAAUUGUUAUUUCUCCUUUACAAAUUUUUUUUUUCCUCGCCCAAGAGUGGGACUGCUGGAUCAUAUGGUAGUUCUAUAUAUAUAUAGAUUUCUUUCUUUUGUUUUUUUUUGUCUUUUUGCCAUUUCUUGGGCUCCUGCGGCAUAUGGAGGUUCCCGGGCUAGGGG
RNAcentral lists this long non-coding RNA (1399 nucleotides) under Sus scrofa (pig). RNAcentral describes it as "lncRNA (ENSSSCG00045031810.1)". Lineage: Eukaryota; Metazoa; Chordata; Mammalia; Artiodactyla; Suidae. The record is from RNAcentral.